This 292-nucleotide ribosomal RNA is filed under the name uncultured Planctomycetota bacterium. RNAcentral describes it as "uncultured planctomycete partial 16S ribosomal RNA". The record is from RNAcentral. Lineage: Bacteria; Pseudomonadati; Planctomycetota.
GGACUACCCGGGUUUCUAAUCCCGUUUGCUCCCCUGGCUUUCGCGCCUCAGCGUCAGUAGGUGUCCAGCACGCCGCUUUCGCCACCGGCGUUCCUUCCGAUAUCUACGCAUUUCACCGCUCCACCGGAAGUUCCGCAUGCCCCUACACCCCUCGAGACCGCCAGUAUCCACGGCACUUCCCCGGUUGAGCCGGGGGCUUUCACCACAGACUUGGCGGCCCGCCUACGCGCCCUUUAAGCCCAGUGAAUCCGAACAACGUUUGCACGGUUCGUCUUACCGCGGCUGCUGGCAC